GGUAUCCUGUGUUGCUUACCAAUGAAAUGGAAUUUGAUAGUCUUGAAAUGCGGAUUCGCCUUGUGCUCUUUGGGGGGCGAGGUGGACAUACGGUGAGCACUGUGUUCCUAACAUGCCAAGCGCAUUGGUGUUUGGUUGUUGUGGCCUAUGGUGUCUUUGCUUGUUCUCUCGGAUGCGGAAAGCUAAGUGUGGGUGUAAGGUCUCGACCUUGAAUCAUCCUAGCACUGUCUUUUGACUCGAAUAACUGCUGUGCCUGACUUGAUUUUCCCGACCAAGGCCUCGUAAUGGGGCUUACUGGACGAGGGUGGAUCAUGCAGGUGUUGGCGUAAAGAGAAAAG
RNAcentral lists this unclassified non-coding RNA (338 nucleotides) under Melicope waialealae. RNAcentral's name for it is "contains 5' external transcribed spacer, ETS". The record is from RNAcentral. Lineage: Eukaryota; Viridiplantae; Streptophyta; Magnoliopsida; Sapindales; Rutaceae.